Small nuclear RNA from Morone saxatilis (striped sea-bass), 158 nucleotides. RefSeq annotates it as U1 spliceosomal RNA. The transcript has a single exon. Lineage: Eukaryota; Metazoa; Chordata; Actinopteri; Moronidae. The record is from RefSeq and is a predicted model, not a curated record.
ACACAAAACUAGCAAAGGUGAAAACGUAACACUGGUUCACCCAGGGCGAGGCUAGGCCAUUGCACUCCGGCUGUGCUGACCCCUGCGAAUUCCCCAAAUGUGGGAAUCUCGACUGCAUAAUUUCUGGUAGUGGGGGACUGCGUUUGCACUGACUUGUA